UGGGGAAUCUUGGACAAUGGGCGCAAGCCUGAUCCAGCCAUGCCGCGUGAGUGAAGAAGGCCCUAGGGUUGUAAAGCUCUUUCGGCGGGGACGAUAAUGACGGUACCCGCAGAAGAAGCCCCGGCUAACUCCGUGCCAGCAGCCGCGGUAAUACGGAGGGGGCUAGCGUUGUUCGGAAUUACUGGGCGUAAAGCGCACGUAGGCGGACUGUUAAGUCGGGGGUGAAAUCCUGGGGCUCAACCCCAGAAUUGCCUCCGAUACUGGCAGUCUCGAGUGCGGGAGAGGUGAGUGGAAUUCCCAGUGUAGAGGUGAAAUUCGUAGAUAUUGGGAAGAACACCAGUGGCGAAGGCGGCUCACUGGCCCGUAACUGACGCUGAGGUGCGAAAGCGUGGGGAGCAAACAG
Molecule: ribosomal RNA, 403 nt
Filed under: uncultured bacterium
Lineage: Bacteria
Description: bacterial SSU rRNA
Rfam family: Bacterial small subunit ribosomal RNA
Source: RNAcentral